This 3753-nucleotide long non-coding RNA is filed under the name Sus scrofa (pig). Its description in RNAcentral is "lncRNA (ENSSSCG00040060993.1)". Lineage: Eukaryota; Metazoa; Chordata; Mammalia; Artiodactyla; Suidae. The record is from RNAcentral.
CUUUUUCUUUUUUUUUCUUUUUUUUUUUUUUUAAUGGCUGCAGAUGCAGCAUAUGGAAGUUCCCAGGCUAGGGGUCCAACUGGAGCCAUACCAGAUCCCAACUGCGUUGCCGGACUCUUUCACCCACUGAGCAAGGCCAGGGAUUGAACCCGAAUCCUCAUGGAUUCUUAACCUGCUGAGCCAUAACAGGAACUCCCAGCAUGCCACUCUGAUUCUCCACAGGAAAAGCAUUCAGACUGGAUGCUGUAAAUCUGAUGCUCAAUGGCAUAUUGGAAAGAGCUUGGGUUUGCAAGACAGUCUGCAAGACAGUCGUACAGGAGUUUGAACUUGCCACCUAUUGGUUAUGUACCUGAUGGAAGUUUUCCAAUCUGUAUUUAACACCAAUCCUCUCAUCUACAAACAACAACAAACAAAGAAGGAGAUGAGAUCAGGGGACUAACAUAACACCAACCAAGCAAGGUUGAAAACUGUUGGGUUAAACAGAUUAAAAUAAUUUUUUUUUAUUUGGUUUUGGUUUCUCCUGCAGGACUUACCAUAACCAGCCUUGUAUACACUCAUGGAUUUCCAGGAAGGGGACAGAACAUUUAGGGUUUUCCCAACUCUUUUAAGCACAGAAUUCCUUUUGAUGGCAUACCCAUUGAGAUUUGCUGAAAACUGACAUUCUCUAUAAAACUCUUUGGAAACAGUUCAAUUUAAAUUCUUCCUGUUUCACAGAUGAGGAAACUGUGGUUGGAGGAGGAGGGUAUUACCCUGCUGGGGCUACCAUAACAAAAUUCCACAGACUGGGUGGUUUAAAGAAUAGAAAUGUAAUUUCUCACAGUGCUGCAGGCUCGAGUCCCAGAUCAAGGCACUAGCGGAUUCCAUUUCUGGUGAGGGCCCCCUUUCUGGUUUGUCAAUGGCCACCUUCCUCGCCUGGCCUUCUUUCUAGGCAUGCGAGGAAAGGGACAUCUCUCCAUCUCUCUCCCGCUCCCUCUAUGGGUCUGUUUGUUCUCCUCCCUCUCUCUUCCUCAUUUUAUAAGGCCACCAGUACUGUCAGAUUAUGGUCCUUACCUUUAAGAUUAGGACCUCAUUUAACCCCAAGUUGUAAGGACCCCAACUCCAAAUAUAGUCACACUUUGUGCUGGUCUUCAACAUGUACAUUUAGGGGUGGGACACAUUCAGGAAGGGAAAGUGACUUCUUCACCAAGGUUGCGCAAACUGAGACCAGAAUCCAGAACUGGUAUGCAACCUGAUGUUGCUUCAGUGACACUUCCUGACUGAUGAUUGACAGACUGACUGAUUGAGAUCUGUUCUCUGUUCAUUCAUUUACUCUUUCAGCACAGAGUGCUUAUCCUGUGCAUUUUAUUGUGCAAGGCUAGGCUCCAGGACUAUAGAGACAAAAACAGACCCACUGCUCUCAAAAAGGGACUUAAGAUUCUACCUAGAGAAACAAGCAUGAGAACAGAGUCUUGAGGCACUGGGCUCACAGCAUCUGGAACAGCAAGGUGCUUUUCUGCCUGCACUUGCCAGCCCUUGUGGCAGCGGGCUGAGAACAGGAGGCAGUCAUGUGGAACAGAAGUGCAAUCCUGAUACAGCAUUUGCUAGCUGGAUGGCACCAAGCAAAUUACUUGACCUCUCUGAGCUCCAGUUUCUGAAUGUGAUACAUAAAGAUAAAACUUUCUAGAGUAGUUUGAGGAAUAAAUGUAUACAUGUAUAUAAUGUGACACACUGCACAUAGUAGAAACAAGAAAUGUUGACUUUCUUUUGGCUAGAGAGAGGAAAUUCAAGGGAUUUUAGGCAGCAAUAUCCACAGAUACCUCUUGGACAUUAGUAACAGAGCUAAUGCUCAGACUUAAUAAGGAUGCGUGUGGGUACAUCAAUUUUAGAUUCCCAGGAUCUAAGGUGCAAUGCUGGCUUCUAUCAUUUAAUCUUCCGUCACUGCAGGGGAGUGAGCCCACUGAGAGAGAUUUAUUAAUAAGUACAUGUACUUUGUUGCUAAAAUGCCAUUUAACCUCUUUUUAAAAAAAAAUGGUUAAACAUUUGUGUGCUGCUAUGAAUGUAUCCAUAUACAGUUUUAAUCUUCACAGCUCCUAUUAAAGACCAACCCUCCUUUAAGAAGACUUUCUUUACGAGUUACCAUUUAUUUAUCACUUAGCAUGGACCAGGAUCUUGUGCUAGGUUAUUAUUUUUCUACAUUAUUUCUCUUAAUCCAUAGAACAAGCCAGAGAGGGAAGCCAUAUUAAGUCUAUAUUUUGGUGAAGAGACUGACGAUCAGCUAGGUGAGAGGCAGGACAGUGGUUCUCGGAGAUAAUCCUGGACCACCCUGGGCACAUGUUAGAAAUGCACAUUCUCAGGUCACAGUCCAGAUCUACUGCACCAAAGCUCCAGCCUUGGCUCCUAGCACCCUGUGUUUUAACAAGCCCUGCAAAUGAUUGUGUUGCCUUUGAAAGUCUGGUGGAUUUGCUUCUGAUCAAUCAGGGACUUGGGGGUGGGGUGUGGGAUUGGAGCUUGAAUAUACCUGACUACAGCAAGGUUCUUUCUCAACUAGGAAUGAUUUCGUGCCCCACUCUCAACCCAGGCAGACGCUUGGUGAUGCCUAGAGACGUUUUUGGUUGUCACAACUAGAGGACGGGGUGCUACUGGCAGCUAAGGACAGAGGCCAUGGAUGCUGCUAAAAUCCUUCAGUACACAGGACAGCCCUUACAACAAAGAGUUAACCAGCGCAAAACGUCAGCAGUGAUGAGGCUGAGAAAUGCUACUCUACAAUUUAAUGUUGCCUUAUGAAAAGAAACUUAAUAGGGGAAAAGUGAGGAAGAGAAGAGAGCGAGAAACAAGGAGAGACAAAGAAAGGAGAAAGGAAGGAAGAAAGAAAGAUCUUGAGAGGAAGGGAGGGAGGGAGAGGAAGGAAGAAGAGAGGGGGAAGGGAAGGAAAAAAGAAGGAAAGAAGAAGGAGAGAAGGAAGGAGGAGGGAGGGAGGAAGAAAGGAAGGAGUGUGGGGGAGAGAAGCAGUAAGAGAGGAAGGGAAGAAGGAAGGGGGCUAAAUGACAGAUUUGGAGAGGGCCUGUCCUGCCCUUGGAUAUCAGGGAGCUGAUGAUCAAAAUGGCCAUUGUGAUAUCACUGCGCUGGAGCCUGCGAGCUACGCAGAAUGGAAACUAAAUAAGUCUUCAGUAUAUCAUACUUAGUGGAACUUUUGGACGUGAAAUGUACUUACAAAAUAAUGUGACAUUUCAAAAGCAUGUUGUCCUCUGAUAAGCCAGGGUCUGGAACCAGAAAGAAAAUAUCUCUAUGGACAAUUACCGGACUGUAACAGCCGAUGAAUGUGAUUUGUGACUUGCAGCUGCUAUAUUUAUUUCAACAUAUUAGCAUCAAGACAUUUGUCACCUUACCAAACGCCUUUAAUAUUUUCUCUCGCAGCUCGGGCUGCCGUUGGCGGUCUUUCUCUCCCCUCUCGGCCUGCUCCAUCUCACACCCUCAGUCUCUCUCUCCCGGCUAGAUGUUUCUGGCUCUCCUAUUCACUGCCUUUCCGUCUUCCUUCUCCCUCUCUUCCCUUGCAGACGUUAGUCCUUUUUCUCCCCACUUCCUGUCUCUUUCUCUCCCAUCUUCCCUCUUUCUCAAUUUUUCCCAUCAGUGCCUCUGAACUCUCUCUCUUCUUCCCCCAUUUCUCAAUCUUUCUACUGUAUUUUUCUUCAGCUUUUUUAAAGCAUUCUUAUUUCUUACCUUCUCUUGAUCCCUCCUUCUCUUUACCUUUCCUCUUUGUUCCUUAAUUUCUCUCCC